CGUAGGAGACAAACGUUAUCCGGAGUUACUGGGCGUAAAGGGCGUGUAGGUGGUAAUGUAAGUCUGGCGUGAAAUUUUUCGGCUUAACCGGGAAAGGUCGUCGGAUACUGCGUAACUAGAGGACGGUAGAGGCGUGUGGAAUUCCGGGUGUAGUGGUGAAAUGCGUAGAGAUCCGGAGGAACACCAGUGGCGAAGGCGACACGCUGGGCCGUACCUGACACUGAACCGCGACAGCAUGGGGAGCAAACAGGAUUAGAAACCCUGGUAGUCCAUGCCGUAAACGAUGCUAGCUGGGUGUUCGAGGGGGGAAACCCCGUCGGGGUACCGAAGUCAACACGGUAAGCUAGCCGCCGUGGGGAGUACGGUCGCAAGAAUU
RNAcentral lists this ribosomal RNA (376 nucleotides) under uncultured organism. Its description in RNAcentral is "bacterial SSU rRNA". It matches the Rfam family "Bacterial small subunit ribosomal RNA", at positions 526 to 896 of the family's 1533-position model. The record is from RNAcentral.